GGACUAUCAUCGUAUACACUCUCCAGCUGACUGGAAUGCAUUGGUUCGUAGACACUUUGCAGGUCGUACUUGAAGGGAUAUGGAAACAAGGUUUUAUGGCACUUGAUGUUGAUGGUGCGACCAACAUUGGAUCCAUUGAGCUAUUCAUCGAACCUAGGAGCAAGUGUAUGAUCCACAAGGUCAUGGCGUAAAGCUUGAGAAAGGAAAGGAGGUAGGUGUAUUCAACAUGGGAUCAACUGUGGCGGUUCAAACAGUUCCUCAGAUUACAGAU
This is a long non-coding RNA of Brassica napus (rape), 271 nucleotides long. RefSeq lists it as uncharacterized. Lineage: Eukaryota; Viridiplantae; Streptophyta; Magnoliopsida; Brassicales; Brassicaceae. The record is from RefSeq and is a predicted model, not a curated record. The transcript has 4 exons.